UAAAUUGAAACCAAAUGCAUAGGUGCUUAGCUGUUAACUAAGAUUUAGUGGGAUAAAUACCCUCCAAUUUAG
RNAcentral lists this transfer RNA (72 nucleotides) under Pseudocheirus peregrinus (common ring-tailed possum). RNAcentral's name for it is "transfer RNA-Asn". Lineage: Eukaryota; Metazoa; Chordata; Mammalia; Diprotodontia; Pseudocheiridae. The record is from RNAcentral.